Molecule: ribosomal RNA, 492 nt
Filed under: uncultured bacterium
Lineage: Bacteria
Description: partial 16S ribosomal RNA
Rfam family: Bacterial small subunit ribosomal RNA
Source: RNAcentral
AGUGAACGCUGGCGGUAUGCCUAACACAUGCAAGUCGAACGGCCGCACAGUAAGCGCUCGCUCUUACUGUUGGCGACUGGCGGACGGGUGAGGCAUACAUCGGCAUCUUCUUUUUCUUGGGGGAUAUCGUAGGGCCACUUACGCUAAUACCUCAUACUUUCUACGGCUGAAAGCAGGGGUUCUUCGCACCUUUCGCGACUCUUUUAGCCGAUGUCGGAUUAGCUAGUUGGCUUGGUAAAGGCCCACCAAGGCGACGAUCCGUAGCUGGUCUGAGAGGAUGAUCAGCCACACUGGAACUGAGACACGGUCCAGACUCCUACGGGAGGCAGCAGUGGGGAAUAUUGGGCAAUGGGCGAAAGCCUGAUCCAGCAAUGCCGCGUGAGUGAAGAAGGCCUUCGGGUUGUAAAGCCCUGUUGUUGGGGAAGAAAAGAAGCAGGAUAAAACGCCGAUGUUCUGACGGUACCCAAAGAAAAAGCAACGGCUAACUUCGUG